CUUCCUUUGUUGGUGAGAUUGGUUAGGGUUAAGGUCAGAAUAACAGGGUAAGCCAGUCAGAGGCAGAGAAGGGCGGGUCAUGCCUUUUCCAUCCUAGUAAAAAAAAUCACUGCAGAGC
Long non-coding RNA from Etheostoma spectabile (orangethroat darter), 118 nucleotides. RefSeq lists it as uncharacterized. The transcript is spliced from 3 exons. Lineage: Eukaryota; Metazoa; Chordata; Actinopteri; Perciformes; Percidae. The record is from RefSeq and is a predicted model, not a curated record.